GGCGCCCAAGAUGAACGGGGCUUUUACCAGCUCAAGAAAGGGCACGAAGCAACCGCGCGAAGCCCUCACCAUAUAGGAUUUUAUAAAGAACGCAGAGUACUAGCUUCCCUUGAAAGGGAACAUCGCGGAGCAGAGGAUGGUUUGAAAAAGUUUUGAGAAGCCCCAGCUAUAGAACAUGAUACUUGCAGUGGCGGCUUGUGGGUUUUAAAAUAGAGGAGGCACACUAAUUGUAUUGGUCUGGGGAUCCCUGCCGAUUAUUAUUAUUAUUAUUUGCUUAACCACUUUAAAAUGGCUUUUUAGUUGCUUUUAGUCAGUAAAUGACAGACAUACAGCAAGAUAAUAUCAUUUCACUUACCUGGCCUAUCACUUGAAGCAAACAUCCAUCCCUUAAGAGUCUGUGUUAAAAGAGAGCUGACUGUUGUGCCAUUUAAUUAAGCCGUGACUGCUGUAGCCUAUAUUCAGCUUAGGCGUGUCCUCCCUUUAUUUUUCAUUUUUAUAUAUACUGUUUGAAUGACAGCUUGGUAAAUCUGUUGGCGAUCAAAUAUUCAAUAUCGCUACUUAUCAUAAGUACUUGGAUUAUUAUCAGCGCAGCGCAAGAUGUUCAAACUAAUAGCACGUAAUUUACGUCUCUAUGAUGAUUGGUUGAUACUAGAAGGGAGGCUAGCCUCCUCUACGAGGUUUCUUUUCUCAACACUCCUCAGCACUGAAAGUGAACACUCGAUGCCGAUUGGUUAAUUUUUUUUUACCAACUAAGGCACGAGAGCUCAACUCUCCCCCGGCUUCCCCAUAGACAGUAAAAGAAAUGGACACAACGACCCCAUUGGAUUCAACGGAGACAAGUGAAGUCAAUUAGAAGCACGCACUUCCUGGGGUUGAGCGUACUGCGCAUGACAGCUUGAUGACGUAAAUGUCACGUGAGCAAACUGUCUGACAAUUGUAAGUCUUCUAAUAGCUGUGCCAAGAGAAAUCUGAAUCACCCACCGAAUCUUGCAGACGUUGUUGAAUAAUUUUGUCCCCUUGCUUUUAUGGACUCUCUAUGGGCUUCUCCCUUGACUUCAUGCCUCCACGUCCCCCCGAUAGCCUCAUAGACAGUAAAAGAUUGCCUGCGAGCUUCUCCUCCUGUCCAUACGGUAAUUUCUCUACUGUGCGACAGAGAGUCGCAGGUUAUGAUGCAAUCUAGGGCUGAACGAUAUAUCGUUAUCGUAUCUAUAUCUAGAUAUGAACUUUCAAGAUAUUACUAUCGAAAAAAGCAACGAUAUAGACGAUAUAGAUUUCCCCUCUCCGCGCUCGCCCUGCAUACAACUCUGGCAGUCACAACAAACAUCAGUUUUACGAGUGCCCUUGAAUGCACCGCUAAAGCCAGCGCGCACACAUUACCAGGGACGUGGAAACUAUAUUGUGAGGGGGGGGCGGUGUUUCCAUGGUGACGCGUCAUUGCUUGUCACGUGACACACCGCAGCAUCAACAGCGCUGAAUGAAUGAUGAUCUGCUUUUAUGUCAUUUUUCCUUUUUUAUUCAGAAUAUUCACAAAUGUGUUAGCUAUGGCAUGAAAUAUCUGAUAUUCCGAUUGUCAAAUACAUGCAAGUGGAAGUAUAUUGUUUUUUAAACACCUUUAUAAUGAUCGCGUUAGUUGAGCUGUAUGCGCGAUGGGCGCCGCCAUCUUAGUUUGUGCCGCAGACGCAGUUCAAUCGGAUCUGUUGGAUUUACAACCUCUAUGUUUACAACACGUGAAUUCAUCCACUUCUCCCGAAAUACUUAAAAGUAAGUGGCUGGUGAACUGGGAAUAGAAUAGAGUAAACAUUGAAGUUACUUACACAAUGUGUAUCUGAUAUGAAUAAAACGUGUCGAAUUAUAAUGGAAAGGAUUAUUAUUACCUCUUCCAUAGACAUCCUGUCUGAAGCCAGACAUGGUUAACAAGCUAGUGUUCCUGGCAAAGAAUCUGUAGAAGUUGUGCUGCCUGUAACUACCUCUGUUCUGUUAGUAGCAAAUGCAUUUUCUGCAUACAGUUAUGUGAUCUUUUGAAGAAUAUAAAUGUUGUUGCACUUCAAUGCACUUUCAAUGUUCCACCAGCUGCUGCAUUUGUUAUUUAUUGUUAAAGCAGAGCUGCAGUAAAAGGUUUGAUUUGUAAUUUUUUUUUUGGUAAUUUAUGUUAAUGUUGAUGACUUGUUCUUAAAAAUAAAACUAUACUUUCCACAUUUUUUUGUAUUAUGAUCUUUUUAUUUUUCUGAGAAAUGCUUGGUUUUCACCGAACACGUAGUCAUAUCGUAUUGUAUCAAUAUCGAGAUAUCUGGCAUGAAAAUCGAGAUAUGAAAUUUUGUCCAUAUCGUUCAGCCCUAAUGCAAUCGUUAGCCUAUUUUUACAAAAACUGCUUCUACGGGGCCAUAACGUAAGAUACAAGGUAAUGGAGCCCUUUAUACAUUGUCGUGUAUCUUUAGAAAUAAAUAAUGGACAAAUGGAGUCUUUAAACGCCUCAGAUGUAAAGUUAUUCGCUGUCAAAGUGACGCAAAAAUGAAUGGGAGUCAAUGGGAUGCUAACGCAAACAGUAAAAGAAAUGGACACAGCGAC
Molecule: long non-coding RNA, 2565 nt
Organism: Cyprinus carpio carpio
Lineage: Eukaryota; Metazoa; Chordata; Actinopteri; Cypriniformes; Cyprinidae
Source: Ensembl